GAUGAACGCUGGCGGCGUGCCCAAUACAUGCAAGUCGAGCGAACGGACGAGAAGCUUGCUUCUCUGAUGUUAGCGGCGGACGGGUGAGUAACACGUGGAUAACCUACCUAUAAGACUGGGAUAACUUCGGGAAACCGUAGCUAAUACCGGAUAAUAUUUUGAACCGCAUGGUUCAAAAGUGAAAGACGGUCUUGCUGUCACUUAUAGAUGGAUCCGCGCUGCAUUAGCUAGUUGGUAAGGUAACGGCUUACCAAGGCAACGAUGCAUAGCCGACCUGAGAGGGGGAUCGGCCACACUGGAACUGAGACACGGUCCCGACGCCUACGGGAGGCAGCCGUAGGGAAUCUUCCGCAAUGGGCGAAAGCCUGACGGAGCAACGCCGCGUGAGUGAUGAAGGUCUUCGGAUCGUAAGACGCUGUUAUUAGGGAAGAACAUAUGUGUAAGUAACUGUGCACAUCUUGACGGUACCUAAUCAGAAAGCCACGGCUAACUACGUG
This 497-nucleotide ribosomal RNA is filed under the name uncultured bacterium. RNAcentral describes it as "partial 16S ribosomal RNA". It matches the Rfam family "Bacterial small subunit ribosomal RNA", at positions 28 to 507 of the family's 1533-position model. The record is from RNAcentral.